UUCACAGAAGUGACAGAAAAAUUAUUAGAUUCAUCUAAAGAUCAAAGACAGGUAAUCAGAUUUUCUUAUUUGUUUUCUUCUUUAUAUAAAUUUUUUGAUUAGCCUGCUUGAAUAACAAAUUGUUUGAAGUCUUGAAGAGAAAUACAAGAGCGGAUUGAUUUUCUGGGCUCGUGAAGAUCGGAGGAAUACAACAACGAAUUGAUUUUCUGGGUUCGUGAAGAGUGAAUUGAUUUUCUGUUCGAUUAAUAAUAUAUUGGAGUUCUAGUGAAAUCUUUAAAUUUUGGUUUGAGCAGUUUGGAUAAGUGGUUGUCCCCUAAAUCUGAUGUCAAGUGUACAAGAGCAAGAGUUACCAGAACCAGACCAUUUCAAGGAUGUUAUGAGUGCUGAUGAUGAAGAUGAUGAUGUUGAGAUGUUAUGAAUGUAUGAUACUAUGAUAGUAUCUGUGUGACUGUGUCUGUGUUUCUUUAA
This is a long non-coding RNA of Papaver somniferum (opium poppy), 468 nucleotides long. RefSeq lists it as uncharacterized. NCBI's taxonomy places the organism in Eukaryota, Viridiplantae, Streptophyta, Magnoliopsida, Ranunculales, Papaveraceae. The transcript has 3 exons. The record is from RefSeq and is a predicted model, not a curated record.